GACAGAGGGUGCAAACGUUGCUCGGAAUCACUGGGCGUAAAGGGCGUGUAGGCGGAUCGGCAAGUCGGGCGUGAAAUCCCUGGGCUCAACCCAGGAACUGCACUCGAAACUGCCUUUCUUGAGUGCAGGAGAGGGAAGUGGAACUCCGGGAGUAGCGGUGAAAUGCGUAGAGACCCGGAGGAACACCAGUGGCGAAGGCGGCUUCCUGGUCUGCGACUGACGCUGUGGCGCGAAAGCUAGGGGAGCGAACGGG
This 253-nucleotide ribosomal RNA is filed under the name uncultured bacterium. RNAcentral's name for it is "partial 16S ribosomal RNA". It matches the Rfam family "Bacterial small subunit ribosomal RNA", at positions 524 to 776 of the family's 1533-position model. The record is from RNAcentral.